This 635-nucleotide ribosomal RNA is filed under the name uncultured archaeon. Its description in RNAcentral is "bacterial SSU rRNA". It matches the Rfam family "Archaeal small subunit ribosomal RNA", at positions 234 to 871 of the family's 1478-position model. The record is from RNAcentral.
UGUUGUGAGGAAGGCCACCAAGCUAUACAGCUCAGGCUUCGAGAGGAGUACCCCGGAGAGGGUACUGAGACAAGGACCCAGGCCCUAUGGGCCCAAGCAGGCCGUAGAAAACUUUGCAAUGCGCGAAAGCUCGACAAGGUUAAUCUGAGUGGUUCCUGUUAAAAGGAACACUUUUGUUAGUCGUAGAACCACUGAUGAAUAAUGGGGUGGGCAAGUUCUGGUGUCAGUCGCCGCGGUAAAACCAGCACCUCAAGUGGUCAGGAUGAUUAUUGGGCCUAAAGCAUCCGUAGCCUGUUCUGUAAGUUUUCGGUUAAAUCCAUAAGCUCAACUUAUGGGCUGCCGAAAAUACUGCAGGACUAGGGAGUGGGAGAGGUAGACGGUACUCGGUAGGAAGGGGUAAAAUCCUUUGAUCUAUUGAUGACCACCUGUGGCGAAGGCGGUCUACCAGAACACGUUCGACGGUGAGGGAUGAAAGCUGGGGGAGCAAACCGGAUUAGAUACCCGGGUAGUCCCAGCUGUAAACGAUGCAAACUCGAUGAUGCGUUGGCUUGUUGCUAGCGCAGUGUCGCAGGGAAGCCGUUAAGUUUGCCGCCUGGGAAGUACGUACGCAAGUAUGAAACUCAAAGGAUUGACGG